RNAcentral lists this ribosomal RNA (388 nucleotides) under fungal sp. Cul2_6. Its description in RNAcentral is "eukaryotic LSU rRNA". It matches the Rfam family "Eukaryotic large subunit ribosomal RNA", at positions 38 to 422 of the family's 3401-position model. The record is from RNAcentral. Lineage: Eukaryota; Fungi.
GCAUAUCAAUAAGCGGAGGAAAAGAAACCAACAGGGAUUGCCUCAGUAACGGCGAGUGAAGCGGCAAGAGCUCAAAUUUGAAAGCUGGCCCCCUCGGGGUCCGCAUUGUAAUUUGCAGAGGAUGCUUCGGGAGUGGCCCCCAUCUAAGUGCUCUGGAACGGGCCGUCAUAGAGGGUGAGAAUCCCGUAUGGGAUGGGGUGUCCGCGACCAUGUGAAGCUCCUUCAACGAGUCGAGUUGUUUGGGAAUGCAGCUCUAAAUGGGUGGUAAAUUUCAUCUAAAGCUAAAUAUUGGCCGGAGACCGAUAGCGCACAAGUAGAGUGAUCGAAAGAUGAAAAGCACUUUGAAAAGAGAGUUAAAAAGCACGUGAAAUUGUUGAAAGGGAAGCGC